ACACAGCAACUGUGACAGAGGACGUGAAGGAGAGAGAUGAUACAAAAGCCAAGAAAAAUGUUAAAAUUGUUAAGACCCUUAGUAUUGAGGAGAUAGCUGAUACCAAAGACACAAAGAGUGUGUCAGAUGCUGAG
Molecule: long non-coding RNA, 134 nt
Organism: Lingula anatina
Lineage: Eukaryota; Metazoa; Brachiopoda; Lingulata; Lingulida; Lingulidae
Source: RefSeq, a predicted model, not a curated record